AGAGAGAGAGAGAGAGAGAGAGAGAGAGAGAGAGAGAAUGGAAGGAAAGAAGGGGGAGGGAGAGAGAGAGAAGGAGGGAGGGAAGUGGGGGCAGGGAGAGAGAAAGAACACCUUCUUUUUUCCUUUUACAAAAGUAACCAGAAUCUCAUUUAAUAAAUAACAAGGCAGAUGAGAAGUCCCAAGCCUGCGCGUGAGGAACUGCGGAAGCCCACGGUCUCUGUCACUGCUGAUGUCACUCUCCACAGGGCUGAGAGGUACCAGUGGACAUGACAGCCCAGGAGAAGGUGACUGGGAGUCCAUGAGGACAAAUGGGACACAAUGCAGAAGCCUGUCUUGAGACCUUCCAGCUGGUUUGCAUUUCCUCAUGGGAUAGGAGCCCUCUCUUGUAGGCUGGGAAGGCAGUGGGACCACCACACGAUUUUAUGGAUCCAUUUUCACUUUUCCAGAUGCAAAGAGAGGAGCCGUAAUUACCUUGCGUACGUUUUGAUAACGUCCCUUGGGCAAGAGUUGUGGUUAAGAACGUCAUGACCCUCAGAAAUUCGGGAAAGAUGUGCACUUGGCUGAUGCCUGUGGCAGAGUCUGGCUCUCAGCCUUCUGUUCCGCAGUUCCUGAAGCCCAGGACUAUGAAAGUGCCCCGUUGACCACAGGGUUCCAGGGUCCACCUAUUGUCGCCAGAGAUAAACCUCCAAGAGCACCAUGUUUGAUCAGAGCCUGGAUCCCAUCUGGGAGGAGGAGAGGGAAUCCCAUGAGCAAAUAGGUAAGAAGAUCCCGUUGUUCAGUCAUGUCCUCUGACACUGUAGCAAUGCAUGCAUAUGGUUGCACUUGGCAUUCUGACACGUGCAUAGAGUGUUUUCAUCUCUUCCCUGGAGGUGAGGCCAAAGCCUGAGGUUCCUUUUGACACAGCUCUGCAAAAACUCCGGCUUUGUGCUCUCCUGUGCUUUGCAAUAACAUACCAGCUCUGCGGUGUGGCCAAUGUUUACUUAAUU
Long non-coding RNA from Mirounga angustirostris (Northern elephant seal), 986 nucleotides. RefSeq lists it as uncharacterized. The record is from RefSeq and is a predicted model, not a curated record. The transcript is spliced from 3 exons. NCBI's taxonomy places the organism in Eukaryota, Metazoa, Chordata, Mammalia, Carnivora, Phocidae.